This 1318-nucleotide ribosomal RNA is filed under the name Eriosoma lanigerum (woolly apple aphid). RNAcentral's name for it is "16S ribosomal RNA". The record is from RNAcentral. Lineage: Eukaryota; Metazoa; Arthropoda; Insecta; Hemiptera; Aphididae.
AAAUUUAAUUUAUUAAUUUUAUUUUUAUUUAUUUUUUGUUAAGUUUUUAAAAAUAAUUUAUUUAUUUAUUGUUUUAGUAUUAAGUAAAAAUUAAUUUUAAGAUUUAUAGUUAAUUAGUAUUGUAAAAGAAUUUAUUUAAAUUAUAAAAAGAAUUUUUAAUAGUACCUUUUGUAUCAGGGUUGAUUAAAAAUUUUUAAUUAUUUUAAAUUUCUCAAAAUUUAUGGAGUUAAUUUUAUUAUAAAUUUAUUGUGGUAUAAAUAUUUAUUAAAUAAUAUUAGUUUUGAAAUUUAAUUCGUUAUAAAAUAUUUAGUUAUUUAAGAUUUAAAUUUAAUUUAAAAAUUUAAAAGUUUAAUUAUUUUAGAUAAAUAAUAUAAUUUUAAAUUUAAAUUAUUUUAGGGAUAAGCUUGAAAUUUAUAUAUAAUUUUUUUUUUUUUUAAUAAUAUAUAGGAAUAGAAAUUUUUAUUUUAAGUUUGUAAAAAUUUAUUAUUUUUAAAUAUUUUAUUUAUUAUAAAUAAAAAUUUAUUUUUAAUAUUAAAUUAUAUUAAUUAAUAAAUAAUUAAUAGUAAUAGCUACCAAGUUAGUAUAAUAUAUAAUUAUAAAUUAUGAAUUCGGCAAAUAAUAUUUUCAUCUGUUUAACAAAAACAUUGUAUUAAGUUUUAUUUAAUAUAGGAUCUGCUCAAUGAUUUUAUUAAAUAGCUGCAGUAUUUUGACUGUGCAAAGGUAGCAUAGUAAUUAGUCUUUUAAUUGGAGACUUGAAUGAAAGAUUUGAUGAAAAAUAGACUUUAUUAUUUAUAAAAUUAAAAUUUUAUUUUUAAGUAAAAAAGCUUAAAUUUUUUAAAGGGACGAUAAGACCCUAUAAAACUUUAUAGUUAUUAAUUUUUAAAUUUUUGGUUUAAUUAUAUUAUUUAUUUUAAAUUUAUAAGAUAAAAAUAUAUGAAUAUAUUUAUUUCUAUAUUAAUAAUUAUUUUAUUGGGGUGAUUAAAAAAAUUUAUAAACUUUUUUUAAAAUUUAACAUUAAUUAAUGAAAUUUUGAAUUAAAAUUUUUAAUUAAAGGAAAAAGUUACUUUAGGGAUAACAGCGUAAUUAAUUUUUUAAGUUCAAAUUUAAAAAUUAGUUUGCGACCUCGAUGUUGAAUUAAGAUUAAUCUUAGGUGCAAAAUUUUAAGUAUUAGGUCUGUUCGACCUUUAAAUUCUUACAUGAUUUGAGUUCAAACCGGUGUAAGCCAGGUUGGUUUCUAUCUUUUAUUAAGUUAAUUGUUUUAGUACGAAAGGAUUAAAUAAUUAAAUUAAAUUUUUAAUUUAUGAAUAAAAUUAAUUUA